Molecule: ribosomal RNA, 501 nt
Filed under: uncultured Glomeromycotina
Lineage: Eukaryota; Fungi; Glomeromycota
Description: partial small subunit ribosomal RNA
Rfam family: Eukaryotic small subunit ribosomal RNA
Source: RNAcentral
CCAAUAGCGUAUAUUAAAGUUGUUGCAGUUAAAAAGCUCGUAGUUGAAUUUCGGGAUCAAUAUAACGGUCAUGCCGUUGGUAUGCACUGUUAUAAUUGAUUUCUCACCUUCUAAAGAACCGUAAUGCCAUUAAUUUGGUGUCACGGGGAAUUAGGACUGUUACCUUGAAAAAAUUAGAGUGUUUAAAGCAGGCUCACGCUUGAAUACAUUAGCAUGGAAUAAUGAAAUAGGACAUCCGAUUCUAUUUUGUUGGUUUCUAGGAUCGAUGUAAUGAUUAAUAAGGAUAGUUGGGGGCAUUAGGAUUCAAUUGUCAGAGGUGAAAUUCUUGGAAUUAUUGAAGACUAACUACUGCGAAAGCAUUUGCCAAGGAUGUUUUCAUUAAUCAAGAACGAAAGUUAGGGGAUCGAAGACGAUCAGAUACCGUCGUAGUCUUAACCAUAAACUAUGCCGACUAGGGAUCGGAUGAUGUUAAUUUUUUAAUGACUCAUUCGGCGCCUUACG